UGACCUCGGAUCAGGUAGGGAUACCCGCUGAACUUAAGCAUAUCAAUAAGCGGAGGAAAAGAAACCAACAGGGAUUGCCUCAGUAACGGCGAGUGAAGCGGCAAGAGCUCAAAUUUGAAAUCUGGCUCCUUCGGGGUCCGAGUUGUAAUUUGUAGAGGAUGCUUCGGGUGCGGCCCCCGUCUAAGUGCUCUGGAACGGGCCAUCGGAGAGGGUGAAAAUCCCGUCUGGGAUGGGGUGUCCGCGUCCAUGUGAAGCUCCUUCGACGAGUCGAGUUGUUUGGGAAUGCAGCUCUAAAUGGGUGGUAAAUUUCAUCUAAAGCUAAAUACUGGCCGGAGACCGAUAGCGCACAAGUAGAGUGAUCGAAAGAUGAAAAGCACUUUGAAAAGAGAGUUAAACAGCACGUGAAAUUGUUGAAAGGGAAGCGCUUGCGACCAGACUCGCUUCCGGGGUUCAGCCGGCUUUCGGGCCGGUGUACUUCCCCGGGGGCGGGCCAGCGUCGGUUUGGGCGGCCGGUCAAAGGCCCCUGGAAUGUAACGCCUCUCGGGGCGCCUUAUAGUCAGGGGUGUCAUGCGGCCAGCCUGGACCGAGGAACGCGCUUCGGCACGGACGCUGGCAUAAUGGUCGUAAACGACC
This 633-nucleotide ribosomal RNA is filed under the name Aspergillus ruber. Its description in RNAcentral is "eukaryotic LSU rRNA". It matches the Rfam family "Eukaryotic large subunit ribosomal RNA", at positions 1 to 649 of the family's 3401-position model. The record is from RNAcentral. Lineage: Eukaryota; Fungi; Ascomycota; Eurotiomycetes; Eurotiales; Aspergillaceae.